CCACAAUGCUGCAAAAGAGUAAAAAAAGAAUUUGAUAUCCAAACUUACAAUCUAAUUACACUAGUUUGAGUCAAUUCAAUCCCUAGCCAUCAAGCUAUCAAUCUUAGAUAUAAGUCAUCACCUCUGUAAAAAUAUUGCCUCAGAUUUUAUCUAGGUCUUUAGUUCAUCAUCCUUAACCUCUUACACUUCGUCUAAGGAGGUGAAACACACAUCUUGUAAUCUUCACUUAAAUUCUUUUCUCGUUUCUAAAUAGCAAGUUUCUAUAUUUCGUUGAGUAGUUUCAGUGAUUCGCGUCUCUAAACAAGUAUGGUGACUCUUACAUUCGUUUCUAAACUUUACGGUCCCACAAAGUUGGCGUUAUAGGAGACAAAUCAGCUUACCAACGGUGUUCCACAUUUUUCUGGACGCGGUUCGAGUUAAAAUAUUCUUGUUGUUCAACGCAUCUCCGAUGGCUGCGUACACAAGCGCCAGCACGAAACUUGAUGCGUAAGGAAGUGCUGACAGAUAACCACUCUAAAAAAAUUGCAAUGUAUUAUUUAUUAAUUUGUUUAUAAUUUCUUUAUUGUUGUUAUUUAAAUAUUUAUUGCCCAGAGAUGAAUUUAUGCCGCCCCAGUCUCUAACCUCCGAAAAGAGACGCCCUAACAAGCUAUGGAGAACUUGACCGGAUACAAAAAAAAUAAAUAAAUAAAAUAAAAUAAGCGUAUAAUUUAAUUAUCAAA
This is a long non-coding RNA of Bemisia tabaci, 719 nucleotides long. RefSeq lists it as uncharacterized. The record is from RefSeq and is a predicted model, not a curated record. NCBI's taxonomy places the organism in Eukaryota, Metazoa, Arthropoda, Insecta, Hemiptera, Aleyrodidae.